GUAGGAUGAGGUAGUAGAUUGUAUAGUUGUAGGUCAUAACCCAUCUUGGAGAUAACUAUACAGUCUACUGUCUUUCCCAC
RNAcentral lists this microRNA precursor (80 nucleotides) under Echinops telfairi (small Madagascar hedgehog). Its description in RNAcentral is "let-7 microRNA precursor family". It matches the Rfam family "let-7 microRNA precursor family". Rfam says of the family: This family represents the microRNAs (miRNA) let-7 and mir-98. let-7 was identified from a study of developmental timing in C. elegans, and was later shown to be part of a much larger class of non-coding RNAs termed miRNAs. Lineage: Eukaryota; Metazoa; Chordata; Mammalia; Afrosoricida; Tenrecidae. The record is from Rfam by way of RNAcentral.